UACGUAGGGGCAAGCGUUGUCCGGAAUGAUUGGGCGUAAAGGGCGCGUAGGCGGCUUUAUAAGUCUGGAGUGAAAGUCCUCUUUUCAAGGGAGGAAUUGCUUUGGAAACUAUAGAGCUUGAGUGCAGGAGAGGUUAUCGGAAUUCCCGGUGUAGCGGUGAAAUGCGUAGAGAUCGGUAUGAACACCAGUGGCGAAGGCGGGUAACUGGACUGCAACUGACGCUGAGGCGCGAAAGUGUGGGGAGCAAACAGGAUUAGAUACCCCUGUAGUCCCU
This 274-nucleotide ribosomal RNA is filed under the name uncultured prokaryote. RNAcentral's name for it is "partial 16S ribosomal RNA". It matches the Rfam family "Bacterial small subunit ribosomal RNA", at positions 524 to 798 of the family's 1533-position model. The record is from RNAcentral.